UAAUACGGAGGGUGCGAGCGUUGUCCGGAAUCACUGGGCGUAAAGAGCGCGUAGGCGGCCGUUUAAGUCAUUUGUGAAAUGCCGGGGCUCAACUCCGGAACUGCACGUGAUACUGGACAGCUAGAGAGCGGUAGAGGCGAGCGGAAUUCCCGGUGUAGCGGUGGAAUGCGUAGAUAUCGGGAAGAACACCAGAGGCGAAGGCGGCUCGCUGGGCCGAUGCUGACGCUGAGGCGCGAAAGCGUGGGUAGCAAACAGGAUUAGAUACCCUGGUAGUCCACGCCGUAAACGAUGGGCACUAGGCGUCGGGAGGUGCGACCCUUUCGGUGCCGUCGCUAACGCAAUAAGUGCCCCGCCUGGGGAGUACGGCCGCAAGGCUG
RNAcentral lists this ribosomal RNA (377 nucleotides) under uncultured bacterium. RNAcentral's name for it is "bacterial SSU rRNA". It matches the Rfam family "Bacterial small subunit ribosomal RNA", at positions 521 to 896 of the family's 1533-position model. The record is from RNAcentral.